Molecule: unclassified non-coding RNA, 333 nt
Filed under: soil metagenome
Description: partial contains 5.8S ribosomal RNA, internal transcribed spacer 2, and large subunit ribosomal RNA
Rfam family: 5.8S ribosomal RNA (bases 1-120)
Source: RNAcentral
GAUGAAGAACGCAGUGAAAUGCGAUAAGUAAUGUGAAUUGCAGAAUUCAGUGAAUCAUCGAAUCUUUGAACGCACAUUGCGCCCGCCAGUAGUCUGGCGGGCAUGCCUGUCCGAGCGUCAUUUCAACCAUCAAGCCCCGGGCUUGUGUUGGGGACCUGCGUCCGACGCAGGCCCUGAAAACCAGUGGCGGGCUCGCUGUCCACACCGAGCGUAGUAACUAACCUCGCUAUGGAGUGGCGCGGGCGCCUGCCGUAAAACCCCCAAUUUUUACAAGGUUGACCUCGGAUCAGGUAGGAAUACCCGCUGAACUUAAGCAUAUCAAUAAGCGGAGGA